Molecule: ribosomal RNA, 1875 nt
Filed under: Myxozoa sp. OUTC 3
Lineage: Eukaryota; Metazoa; Cnidaria; Myxozoa
Description: SSU rRNA
Rfam family: Eukaryotic small subunit ribosomal RNA
Source: RNAcentral
UCUAGAGCUAAUACAUGCAGUUUCAGGGUGGUGUAACAGCCAUCCUUUGCAUUUAUUAGAAGAAAACCGACUACGGUGGUGAGGUCGAAAGCUUCGCCUCCGUAAGGUGAAUCUAGAUAACUUUGCAGAUCGUAUGGCCUUGAGCCGGCGACAUUUCAAUUGAAUUUCUGCCCUAUCAACUUGUUGGUAAGGUAGUGGCUUACCAAGGUUUCAACGGGUAACGGGGAAUCAGGGUUCGAUUCCGGAGAGGGAGCCUGAGAAAUGGCUACCACAUCCAAGGGCGGCAGCAGGCGCGCAAAUUACCCAAUCCAGAUUCUGGGAGGUGGUGAUGAGAAAUACUAGAUGGUUUCCCUAUGGGAUGCCAUACUGGAAUGGACGUAACUCAAGAAAUUCGAUGAGUAACAACUAGAGGGCAAGUCUGGUGCCAGCAGCCGCGGUAAUUCCAGCUCUAGUAGUGUAUCGUAAAGUUGCUGCGUUUAAAAAGCUCGUAGUUGGAUUACGCAGCAUGAAUUAGUCGAUUGGCGCUGUGGUACGCAAAAUCUGUGUGGAGAUCAACCUUUUCGUGGUUAAUCCCGGAGGGGCGGGUUUUCACAUGGAGUAUCACGCGUCGAUUAAAAGCUGAUUCAUGCUACUUAUACGUGAGAAUGGUGGUUGACCUUAAGUGUGUUGACCAUUGUGUCUUACGAGGUGUGCCUUGAAUAAAUCAGAGUGCUCAAAGCAGGCGAAAGCUUGAAUGUUAAUAGCAUGGAACGAACAAUUGUGUUUUUGGCGCUCCAGAUUGGAGUUUUCGUGGGUUUAUAUCUGCGUCUAGUCCGAUUUGGGGCGCAGCACCAACCACCAAUAACGGAUGUUGGUUUCCGUAUUGGGGUGAUGAUUAAAAGGAGCGGUUGGGGGCAUUGGUAUUUGGCCGCGAGAGGUGAAAUUCUUGGACCGGCUAAGGACUAACAAAUGCGAAGGCAUCUGUCAAGACCGUUUCCAUUAAUCAAGAACGAUAGUGAGAGGUUCGAAGACGAUCAGAUACCGUCCUAGUUCUCACCGUAAACUAUGCCGACCCGGGAUCAGUUUUGAGCAAUAUAACGCUCGCGGUUGGUCCCCCUGGGAAACCUCAAGUUUUUAGGUUACGGGGGGAGUAUGGUUGCAAGGCUGAAACUUAAAGGAAUUGACGGAAGGGCACCACCAGGGGUGGAGCCUGCGGCUUAAUUUGACUCAACACGGGAAAACUCACCUGGUCCGGACAUUGAUAUGAUUAACAGACUAAUAGAUCUUUUAUGAUACAGUGGUUGGUGGUGCAUGGCCGUUCUUAGUUCGUGGAGUGAUCUGUCAGGUUGAUUCCGGUAACGGACGAGACCAUAACUUUCAUUUCUGGAGCUGGAGAAAGCAGUAAUCAAGUGCUGGCUGGGCAACCAGUUAGUAUUUGGUUAUUGCUGUAGGCGGGGUAUGUGUUCUAUCAUUUUUGAGUAUGUUACUGGGAAGGGUGUAAAUCCGACACGGGAAUGUGCUUAAGAGUGGUAGUGUAGCAUGCUCUCCCUCCUGCCUGAUGUUGUUGGGGCUAAACCCCUAGCAAUGUACGAUGAAAGGACAACCAAGAAUACUUAAGAAGUUGGGGGAAGCGUUUGGCGAUAACAGGUCUGUGAUGCCCUUAGAUGUCCAGGGCCGCACGCGCGCUACAAUGAUAACAACAGCGAGUAUCUGGGUCGAAAGACUUGGGUAAUCUUGUCAAUUGUUAUCGUGAUGGGGAUUGAUCGUUGUAAUUAUCGGUCAUGAAAGAGGAAUCCCUAGUAUGUGCAUAUCAUUAGUAUGCACAGAUUAAGUCCCUGCCCUUUGUACACACCGCCCGUCGCUACUACCGAGUGAAUCGUGUCAUGAUGCCUUGGG